Non-coding RNA from Caenorhabditis elegans, 142 nucleotides. The record is from Ensembl. Lineage: Eukaryota; Metazoa; Nematoda; Chromadorea; Rhabditida; Rhabditidae.
GUAGGGAAAGAUUGGCGGAGAGAACGAGAACGACGGGCGGACAACCGAAAGGAGGAGGGGCAGCUGAGAAGUAGGCGGUGCUUUGGGAAGAGGCAAACCCAUCGGCACGUGGGCAACCAUCUGGGAUCUAAUGACGUGGGAA